RNAcentral lists this ribosomal RNA (394 nucleotides) under uncultured bacterium. RNAcentral describes it as "partial 16S ribosomal RNA". It matches the Rfam family "Bacterial small subunit ribosomal RNA", at positions 523 to 918 of the family's 1533-position model. The record is from RNAcentral.
AUACGUAGGGUGCAAGCGUUAAUCGGAAUUACUGGGCGUAAAGCGUGCGCAGGCGGUUCGGAAAGAAGGAUGUGAAAUCCCAGGGUCAACCUUGGAACUGCAUUCUUAACUACCGAACUAGAGUAUGUCAGAGGGGGGUAGAAUUCCGCGUGUAGCAGUGAAAUGCGUAGAUAUGCGGAGGAAUACCGAUGGCGAAGGCAGCCCCCUGGGAUAAUACUGACGCUCAUGCACGAAAGCGUGGGUAGCAAACAGGAUUAGAUACCCUGGUAGUCCACGCCCAAAACGAUGUCAACUAGCUGUUGGGCCCUUCGGGGCUUAGUAGCGUAGCUAACGCGUGAAGUUGACCGCCUGGGGAGUACGGUCGCAAGAUUAAAACUCAAAUGAAUUGACGGGG